GCCGCCGUGGCGGAACGAAGACGCGCCGCGCCCAGGACGCGGUGCUCAUGCGAGCGUGGGGGUGCGAGUCCCUCCGGCGGCACCA
This 85-nucleotide transfer RNA is filed under the name Elusimicrobiota bacterium. Its description in RNAcentral is "Elusimicrobia bacterium tRNA-Leu". Lineage: Bacteria; Pseudomonadati; Elusimicrobiota. The record is from RNAcentral.